UAACGCGUGAGUAACCUGCCUUACACAAGGGGAUAGCCUCUGGAAACGGAGAAUAAUACCCUAUGAAACUAUCUUAUCGCAUGAAAAGAUAGUCAAAGUGUUUUAGCGGUGUAAGAUGGACUUGCGUCUGAUUAGCUAGUUGGUGAGAUAACAGCCCACCAAGGCAACGAUCAGUAGCCGGCUUGAGAGAGUGUACGGCCACAUUGGGACUGAGACACGGCCCAG
Molecule: ribosomal RNA, 225 nt
Filed under: uncultured Eubacteriales bacterium
Lineage: Bacteria; Bacillati; Bacillota; Clostridia; Eubacteriales
Description: uncultured Clostridiales bacterium partial 16S ribosomal RNA
Rfam family: Bacterial small subunit ribosomal RNA
Source: RNAcentral